ACAAGAGAGUAAUCAGCAAAUAUAUGACUUCGUAUCAACUAAAAGCACUUUACAGAAGAGGAGAGACUCCGGGCGACAGAUUUCCUACGGCAGUACUUUCCUAAGUGUACUAAGAUUGUCUUUCUAAAGAUGUUUGAAAGGAGAACAGCCUUGGAUGACAGAGAUAGUGUCUUCCUCCAGAGCACAUACUCCCUAGUCACAGAUUCCUCCCUCUGACACAACCCGAAGCCUGAAUCACCUGGCCUUCUUCGAGCCACCCUGUGGGACUUGGGGCUUGGAAAAUAAGAGCAACAUUGAUUCUUUGGCUACUACUAUUGCUGUGAGUAAUAAAGUCCUUUGUUUCCAA
Hyaena hyaena (striped hyena) is the source of this 346-nucleotide long non-coding RNA. RefSeq lists it as uncharacterized. The transcript is spliced from 2 exons. The record is from RefSeq and is a predicted model, not a curated record. Lineage: Eukaryota; Metazoa; Chordata; Mammalia; Carnivora; Hyaenidae.